UACACUCCUACGGGAGGCAGCAGUGGGGAAUAUUGCACAAUGGGCGCAAGCCUGAUGCAGCCAUGCCGCGUGUAUGAAGAAGGCCUUCGGGUUGUAAAGUACUUUCAGCGGGGAGGAAGGCGAUAAGGUUAAUAACCUUGUUGAUUGACGUUACCCGCAGAAGAAGCACCGGCUAACUCCGUGCCAGCAGCCGCGGUAAUACGGAGGGUGCAAGCGUUAAUCGGAAUUACUGGGCGUAAAGCGCACGCAGGCGGUCUGUCAAGUCGGAUGUGAAAUCCCCGGGCUCAACCUGGGAACUGCAUUCGAAACUGGCAGGCUAGAGUCUUGUAGAGGGGGGUAGAAUUCCAGGUGUAGCGGUGAAAUGCGUAGAGAUCUGGAGGAAUACCGGUGGCGAAGGCGGCCCCCUGGACAAAGACUGACGCUCAGGUGCGAAAGCGUGGGGAGCAAACAGGAUUAGAAACCCGGGUAGUCCCAUG
RNAcentral lists this ribosomal RNA (476 nucleotides) under uncultured organism. Its description in RNAcentral is "partial 16S ribosomal RNA". It matches the Rfam family "Bacterial small subunit ribosomal RNA", at positions 332 to 799 of the family's 1533-position model. The record is from RNAcentral.